AUCUAGGUGACGAGUUCUAGAUAGGAUGAAAUACGCAUCCUAGAU
This 45-nucleotide non-coding RNA is filed under the name Trichobilharzia regenti. The record is from RNAcentral. Lineage: Eukaryota; Metazoa; Platyhelminthes; Trematoda; Strigeidida; Schistosomatidae.